Brassica rapa (field mustard) is the source of this 2859-nucleotide RNA transcript. It is a transcript of the gene named probable fructokinase-7, with no coding region annotated. Lineage: Eukaryota; Viridiplantae; Streptophyta; Magnoliopsida; Brassicales; Brassicaceae. The record is from RefSeq and is a predicted model, not a curated record.
UACAAAAAUCGCAAAUCUAAAAAAUAAAAAUUCUUAAAUCACGAAUUCGAUAGUAAUCACUAGAGAUAGACAAAAAACCAAACAGAACCGAGUCAAAUCGAACCGAGUCAAAUCGAACCAUUCGAACCGAGUCAAAUCGAACCAACCGAACCGAAUCAAAUCGAACCAACCGAACUGAAACCGAUUCAAACCGAACCAAAGUCUAUUUUAAACCAUUCGGUUGAAGAUUUUCCUAACCCAAAUGAUUCGAUUUUAAACCGAAUCGAACCGAAAAACUGACGUGUUUAUAUAAUUAUUUAAAUUAAAACUAUUGGUAAUACCAAUAUACUAAAAUUCUAAUAACAACUAUUUUUCAUUUUUCAUUUAUUAACACCCAUACCAUCGUCCACGCGAGCUACAUACUGUAUAUAGGAAUAGGUGUGUCUGUGUGUGCGUGUGUUUAUAUUAAACCGGGAAUAUUCAUAAUGUGGUGACGUCAUUAUAUAUGAUCACUUGCUAAAUACAUUAACCAACUUCGUCUCUUCAUCUCUACUAGUAACCAAUUAACCAACCAAAACAAACUUUCAAAUCUUCUCCUCUCCUCUCGCUUCAUCUCCCUCCGUUUCCGUCUUGUCUUUCGAAUCUGAACAUCUCUGGAAAUAAUCUAAAACAAAAUGGGUGAGAACGCCAUCUCAGGUAAUCUCAAGAAUCUAAAGAUCGACACAGGACGUUCAGAGACUCUCGUGGUGUGUUUCGGCGAGAUGCUGAUCGAUUUCGUGCCAACGGUGGGAGGUGUUUCACUCGCUGAAGCACCAGCUUUCAAGAAAGCACCAGGAGGUGCACCUGCGAAUGUAGCCGUUGGUGUCUCUAGACUCGGUGGCUCCUCUGCUUUCGUUGGAAAGGUAGGUGAUGAUGAGUUUGGACGAAUGUUAGCUGAUAUUCUAAGGCUGAACAACGUGGAUAACUCCGGGAUGAGAUUCGACCACAAAGCACGCACCGCUCUCGCCUUUGUUACGUUGAGAGGUGACGGAGAGAGGGAGUUUCUGUUCUUCAGACACCCUAGUGCCGACAUGCGUCUCUUGGAGUCUGAGCUUGACAAGAAUCUAAUCCAAAAGGCCAAGAUCUUUCAUUACGGAUCUAUCGGUUUGAUCGAGGAGCCUUGCCGGUCGACUCAGCUCGCAGCUAUGAAAAUCGCUAAAGCCUCGGGGAGUCUCUUGUCGUAUGACCCGAAUUUGAGAUUGCCGUUGUGGCCGUCAGAGGAAGCUGCAAGGAAAGAGAUCAUGAGUAUCUGGAAUUUGGCAGAUGUUAUAAAGAUAAGUGAGGAGGAGAUUACAUUCCUGACUGGUGGAGAUGAUCCUUAUGAUGAUGAAGUUGUGUUGCGAAAGCUCUUUCAUCCAAAUCUUAAGCUUCUUGUUGUUUCAGAAGGACCUAAUGGCUGUAGAUACUACACUCAGGAGUUUAAAGGUAGAGUUGGUGGAGUGAAAGUGAAAGCGGUUGAUACAACCGGUGCAGGAGAUGCAUUCGUGAGCGGUCUAUUGAACAGCUUAGCUUCUGAUCUCACUCUUCUCACUGAUGAGAAGAAGCUAAGAGAGGCGCUUCUAUUCGCAAACGCUUGUGGAGCUAUUACUGCUACAGAGAGAGGAGCCAUUCCAGCUAUGCCCACCAUGGAUGCAGUUCAAGACCUUCUCUCUUCUUCUCGCUCCUAAAAAUGCUCAAAAAGUCUCUUUUUUUUUAAUGACUCAAUUCAUUACCUUUUCACUGUAUCUUAGUUCCUAAUUUGUAGGAACUCAAGAAUGUUGAGUGUGUUUCUAGUUUGUUGAUCUCCUGGUGUUUUGGUUUUAUGUCAAGUUAGAUUCUUCUACAAGGAACAAAAUUUCUGCUCUAUGAAAUGCGUGCCGUUUUUGUGGCGGAGAACGACAAGCAUCUCUUUGAUAGAAAACGACAAAUCCCGCGAGUGUGUAAAUACUAAAUACCGAAGCGAACAACUAGUGAAGUAUUAUGAACGUGAGUAGCACGUGACAACUCCGCUUUUUUUUUUUUUGAUAAAAAAAAAGGCUGUGGGGUAUAACCGACAUUCUACAAAUAUAACGGCGUUAAGAGUCGGAACGUGGAGUCUUGGGUGAAAACUUAACGAACUUUUAUGUUUGGCCGUCAAAAUCAGGGACGAUAGUUCGUUCUCACGUUCUCUCCAUCUUCACUCUCCUCUGAGAUCCAGACUCUUAUUAUUGAUCGGAAGAAGAAGAAGAAGAAGAAGUCGAGGCAUUUUGGAGCGGUGGUUGAAGAGGAGAUGAUGGCUUCGGAUCCAAAACUGAAGGCAGAGAUAGGUCCCGACGGAUUAGCAAGAGAAGCUCCCGUUAUUGCUUACACUGAGAAGAUAAUCGAGGAAGAGCAGCUUCAGUUGAGGAAGUAAGUAUCUGAUUCUGGAAUUUCGUUUGAUCGAUUUGAUUGUUGUGAGAAUGAAUGUAUGUGUAUGUGUGGUGUGUGCAUCUUGCGAUCUGAGAUUCUGUCAAUGUUGCAUUCUUCUCCUUGUGUCGUUUUAAGUUAGCUAAGGGUAGAGAAUGAUCCUAUUAAGAAUCGAAUGUUAGUUUUUUUUUUCUUCUGCUUAAUGAGAGAGAGAGAGAGCUUCUGUGUGUGAGACAGAUACAUUGAGGAGAACUAUUCAAAGAUAAGGGAUGUAGAAAGGGAAUUUGGAAACCUCACCUUGGAGAUGAAACUCACUGCUGGUCCUAAGAAAGCUGCGCUGGAACACUUGAGAAAGAAGAUUGAAGCCUGUACUGAAAAGAUCCAUGCUGCUAAGUUGAAAGAAGAUGAAGCUAGAAAGGCAUAUGAAGCAGCAUCAAAAGUUGUCAAGGAUGAAGAAGCAAUAAAACAGAGCCUUUG